RNAcentral lists this non-coding RNA (45 nucleotides) under Echinostoma caproni. The record is from RNAcentral. Lineage: Eukaryota; Metazoa; Platyhelminthes; Trematoda; Plagiorchiida; Echinostomatidae.
GCACUGCUGACGAGUCCCAAACAGACCUAAACAGCUGUCCAGUGC